This 497-nucleotide ribosomal RNA is filed under the name uncultured bacterium. RNAcentral describes it as "partial 16S ribosomal RNA". It matches the Rfam family "Bacterial small subunit ribosomal RNA", at positions 28 to 507 of the family's 1533-position model. The record is from RNAcentral.
GAUGAACGCUGGCGGCGUGCCUAAUACAUGCAAGUCGAGCGAACAGAUGAGGAGCUUGCUCCUCUGACGUUAGCGGCGGACGGGUGAGUAACACGUGGAUAACCUACCUAUAAGACUGGGAUAACUUCGGGAAACCGGAGCUAAUACCGGAUAAUAUAUUGAACCGCAUGGUUCAAUAGUGAAAGACGGUUUUGCUGUCACUUAUAGAUGGAUCCGCGCCGCAUUAGCUAGUUGGUAAGGUAACGGCUUACCAAGGCAACGAUGCGUAGCCGACCUGAGAGGGUGAUCGGCCACACUGGAACUGAGACACGGUCCAGACUCCUACGGGAGGCAGCAGUAGGGAAUCUUCCGCAAUGGGCGAAAGCCUGACGGAGCAACGCCGCGUGAGUGAUGAAGGUCCUCGGAUCGUAAAACUCUGUUAUUAGGGAAGAACAAAUGUGCAAGUAACUAUGCACGUCUUGACGGUACCUAAUCAGAAAGCCACGGCUAACUACGUG